Osmia bicornis bicornis is the source of this 109-nucleotide long non-coding RNA. RefSeq lists it as uncharacterized. The transcript has 2 exons. The record is from RefSeq and is a predicted model, not a curated record. Lineage: Eukaryota; Metazoa; Arthropoda; Insecta; Hymenoptera; Megachilidae.
UUCUCAAGGACUGUUUAAAAUAUUCUACAAAAUUAAGUAUGCGAAUUCAACGAAUAAAUUUUAACCAGAUAAGGGUAAGGUUACUGCAAUGACUACAGAUACAAGAAAA